UACGAAGGGGGCUAGCGUUGCUCGGAAUCACUGGGCGUAAAGCGCACGUAGGCGGCUUUUAAGUCAGGGGUGAAAUCCUGGAGCUCAACUCCAGAACUGCCUUUGAUACUGAGAAGCUUGAGUCCGGGAGAGGUGAGUGGAACUGCGAGUGUAGAGGUGAAAUUCGUAGAUAUUCGCAAGAACACCAGUGGCGAAGGCGGCUCACUGGCCCGGUACUGACGCUGAGACGCGAAAGCGUGGGGAGCGAACGAGG
RNAcentral lists this ribosomal RNA (253 nucleotides) under uncultured bacterium. RNAcentral's name for it is "partial 16S ribosomal RNA". It matches the Rfam family "Bacterial small subunit ribosomal RNA", at positions 524 to 777 of the family's 1533-position model. The record is from RNAcentral.